UGACUACACAGCUGUGCCUCAGGCUU
RNAcentral lists this non-coding RNA (26 nucleotides) under Mus musculus (house mouse). Lineage: Eukaryota; Metazoa; Chordata; Mammalia; Rodentia; Muridae. The record is from RNAcentral.